This 488-nucleotide ribosomal RNA is filed under the name uncultured bacterium. Its description in RNAcentral is "bacterial SSU rRNA". It matches the Rfam family "Bacterial small subunit ribosomal RNA", at positions 30 to 506 of the family's 1533-position model. The record is from RNAcentral.
AUUGAACGCUGGCGGCAGGCUUAACACAUGCAAGUCGAGCGGGGAAGGUAGCUUGCUACCGGACCUAGCGGCGGACGGGUGAGUAAUACUUAGGAAUCUGCCUAUUAGUGGGGGACGAACGUUUCGAAAGGGACGCUAAUACCGCAUACGUCCUACGGGAGAAAGCAGGGGAUCUUUAUGACCUUGCGCUAAUAGAUGAGCCUAAGUCGGAUUAGCUAGUUGGUGGGGUAAAGGCCUACCAAGGCGACGAUCUGUAGCGGGUCUGAGAGGAUGAUCCGCCACACUGGGACUGAGACACGGCCCAGACUCCUACGGGAGGCAGCAGUGGGGAAUAUUGGACAAUGGGGGGGAACCCCGUGAUCCAGCCAUGCCGCGUGUGUGAAGAAGGCAUUUUUGUUGUAAAGCACUUUAAGCGAGGAGGAGGCUCUUUAGGUUAAUACCCUGAAUGAGUGGACGUUACUCGCAGAAUAAGCACCGGCUAACUCUGU